UAUCCGUACCAUUCGUUUACAGGAUAUCAAUUAGUUCAGACAAGUCUUAACUAAAUCUAACAAUAAUAUGAAAUUGGCUAUUAUACUCUUUGCUCUUGCUGUAUUCAGCCAAAGCAAAGGCAAGCACCUGACGAAAUGCAAACAAGAAAUAGUAGGUGGCCUCGCGGAUAGCUGGGAUUGUUACGUCGAAACGGAAAGUUCCCAGCGCAUUGGCGACUCUGACCAACCGAGCAGCGAUGAUUUACGGGGCUACGGGCACAUAGAUAUGACAAACAAAUUUUUGUGCACUAUUACAAACGCCGCUAACGGAAAGAAUUGCAAUGUAUAUUAUUUGUUUAAGCGGUCAAACGAUCAUCAGACCGCCUAAUGUUAGGCUAUCUGACGCAUACGGACAUUCAUUACACCAGAGGAAUGCAAACAACUUAUAGAUGACGACAUUACGAAGGCUACAGCUUGUUAAGAUCUAUCAGAGUCGUGGCUUUAACGGCUGAUAUAGCUAAAAGAAUAAAUGUCAAGGAAAGCCAUCAAAAACUUAUUAAGCAAAAAGUAUUAAGUCAUCAUUUCUGAGUGUAUAAAAAUAAUUAAAAUCUUUUGUUUGUUUAAUAAAAUAGAUUUAAUUUAAGA
Papilio xuthus (Asian swallowtail) is the source of this 624-nucleotide long non-coding RNA. RefSeq lists it as uncharacterized. NCBI's taxonomy places the organism in Eukaryota, Metazoa, Arthropoda, Insecta, Lepidoptera, Papilionidae. The transcript has 3 exons. The record is from RefSeq and is a predicted model, not a curated record.